RNAcentral lists this ribosomal RNA (955 nucleotides) under Salmonella enterica. Its description in RNAcentral is "partial 23S ribosomal RNA". It matches the Rfam family "Bacterial large subunit ribosomal RNA", at positions 197 to 1190 of the family's 2925-position model. Lineage: Bacteria; Pseudomonadati; Pseudomonadota; Gammaproteobacteria; Enterobacterales; Enterobacteriaceae. The record is from RNAcentral.
AACAUCUAAGUACCCCGAGGAAAAGAAAUCAACCGAGAUUCCCCCAGUAGCGGCGAGCGAACGGGGAGGAGCCCAGAGCCUGAAUCAGCAUGUGUGUUAGUGGAAGCGUCUGGAAAGGCGCGCGAUACAGGGUGACAGCCCCGUACACAAAAGCGCAUGUGCUGUGAGCUCGAUGAGUAGGGCGGGACACGUGGUAUCCUGUCUGAAUAUGGGGGGACCAUCCUCCAAGGCUAAAUACUCCUGACUGACCGAUAGUGAACCAGUACCGUGAGGGAAAGGCGAAAAGAACCCCGGCGAGGGGAGUGAAAAAGAACCUGAAACCGUGUACGUACAAGCAGUGGGAGCACAGGUUUACCUGUGUGACUGCGUACCUUUUGUAUAAUGGGUCAGCGACUUAUAUUCUGUAGCAAGGUUAACCGUAUAGGGGAGCCGAAGGGAAACCGAGUCUUAACCGGGCGUUAAGUUGCAGGGUAUAGACCCGAAACCCGGUGAUCUAGCCAUGGGCAGGUUGAAGGUUGGGUAACACUAACUGGAGGACCGAACCGACUAAUGUUGAAAAAUUAGCGGAUGACCUGUGGCUGGGGGUGAAAGGCCAAUCAAACCGGGAGAUAGCUGGUUCUCCCCGAAAGCUAUUUAGGUAGCGCCUCGUGAAUUCAUCUCCGGGGGUAGAGCACUGUUUCGGCUAGGGGGCCAUCCCGGCUUACCAACCCGAUGCAAACUGCGAAUACCGGAGAAUGUUAUCACGGGAGACACACGGCGGGUGCUAACGUCCGUCGUGAAGAGGGAAACAACCCAGACCGCCAGCUAAGGUCCCAAAGUCAUGGUUAAGUGGGAAACGAUGUGGGAAGGCCCAGACAGCCAGGAUGUUGGCUUAGAAGCAGCCAUCAUUUAAAGAAAGCGUAAUAGCUCACUGGUCGAGUCGGCCUGCGCGGAAGAUGUAACGGGGCUAAACCAU